This 21-nucleotide microRNA is filed under the name Brachypodium distachyon (stiff brome). RNAcentral describes it as "bdi-miR395p-5p". Its record names the gene bdi-miR395p-5p. Lineage: Eukaryota; Viridiplantae; Streptophyta; Magnoliopsida; Poales; Poaceae. The record is from miRBase by way of RNAcentral.
GUUUCCUGCAAGCACUUCACG